UGAUCCUGGCUCAGAUUGAACGCUGGCGGCAUGCCUUACACAUGCAAGUCGAACGGCAGCACGGGGGCAACCCUGGUGGCGAGUGGCGAACGGGUGAGUAAUACAUCGGAACGUGUCCUGUAGUGGGGGAUAGCCCGGCGAAAGCCGGAUUAAUACCGCAUACGCUCUACGGAGGAAAGGGGGGGAUCUUAGGACCUCUCGCUACAGGGGCGGCCGAUGGCAGAUUAGCUAGUUGGUGGGGUAAAGGCCUACCAAGGCGACGAUCUGUAGCUGGUCUGAGAGGACGACCAGCCACACUGGGACUGAGACACGGCCCAGACUCCUACGGGAGGCAGCAGUGGGGAAUUUUGGACAAUGGGGGCAACCCUGAUCCAGCAAUGCCGCGUGUGUGAAGAAGGCCUUCGGGUUGUAAAGCACUUUUGUCCGGAAAGAAAACCGCCGCCCUAAUAUGGUGGUGGGAUGACGGUACCGGAAGAAUAGCACC
RNAcentral lists this ribosomal RNA (484 nucleotides) under Burkholderia sp. C2PML26. RNAcentral's name for it is "bacterial SSU rRNA". It matches the Rfam family "Bacterial small subunit ribosomal RNA", at positions 14 to 494 of the family's 1533-position model. The record is from RNAcentral. Lineage: Bacteria; Pseudomonadati; Pseudomonadota; Betaproteobacteria; Burkholderiales; Burkholderiaceae.